UACGUAGGGGGCAAGCGUUGUCCGGAUUUAUUGGGCGUAAAGAGCGUGUAGGCGGCCAGGGAGGUCCGUUGUGAAAACUCGAGGCUCAACCUCGAGACGCCGAUGGAAACCCCCUGGCUAGAGUCCGGAAGAGGAGAAUGGAAUUCCUGGUGUAGCGGUGAAAUGCGCAGAUAUCAGGAAGAACACCCGUGGCUAAGGCGGUUCUCUAGUACGGUACUGACGCUGAGACGCAAAAGCGUGGGGAGCGAACAGG
This 253-nucleotide ribosomal RNA is filed under the name uncultured bacterium. Its description in RNAcentral is "partial 16S ribosomal RNA". It matches the Rfam family "Bacterial small subunit ribosomal RNA", at positions 524 to 776 of the family's 1533-position model. The record is from RNAcentral.